RNAcentral lists this ribosomal RNA (450 nucleotides) under uncultured bacterium. RNAcentral's name for it is "bacterial SSU rRNA". It matches the Rfam family "Bacterial small subunit ribosomal RNA", at positions 29 to 524 of the family's 1533-position model. The record is from RNAcentral.
AGCGAACGCUGGCGGCAGGCUUAACACAUGCAAGUCGAACGGGCACUUCGGUGCUAGUGGCAGACGGGUGAGUAACGCGUGGGAACGUGCCUUUCGGUUCGGAAUAAUCCAGGGAAACUUGGACUAAUACCGGAUACGCCCUUCGGGGGAAAGAUUUAUCGCCGAAAGAUCGGCCCGCGUCUGAUUAGCUAGUUGGUGAGGUAAAGGCUCACCAAGGCGACGAUCAGUAGCUGGUCUGAGAGGAUGAUCAGCCACACUGGGACUGAGACACGGCCCAGACUCCUACGGGAGGCAGCAGUGGGGAAUAUUGGACAAUGGGCGAAAGCCUGAUCCAGCCAUGCCGCGUGAGUGAUGAAGGCCUUAGGGUUGUAAAGCUCUUUUACCCGGGAUGAUAAUGACAGUACCGGGAGAAUAAGCUCCGGCUAACUCCGUGCCAGCAGCCGCGGUAAU